This 253-nucleotide ribosomal RNA is filed under the name uncultured bacterium. RNAcentral's name for it is "partial 16S ribosomal RNA". It matches the Rfam family "Bacterial small subunit ribosomal RNA", at positions 524 to 776 of the family's 1533-position model. The record is from RNAcentral.
UACGAGAGGCCCAAACGUUAUUCGGAAUUACUGGGCUUAAAGAGUUCGUAGGCGGCAUGAAAAGUAGGGUGUGAAAGCCCUCGGCUCAACCGAGGAAUUGCGCUCUAAACUGUCGUGCUAGAGGAACCUAGAGGUGAGCAGAACUGAUGGUGGAGCGGUGAAAUGCGUUGAUAUCAUCUGGAAUACCGGAGGCGAAGGCGGCUCACUGGGGGUUUUCUGACGCUGAGGAACGAAAGCCAGGGGAGCGAACGGG